Molecule: non-coding RNA, 21 nt
Filed under: Arabidopsis thaliana (thale cress)
Lineage: Eukaryota; Viridiplantae; Streptophyta; Magnoliopsida; Brassicales; Brassicaceae
Also listed under: 1 other name
Source: RNAcentral
CACGGGGAGGUAGUGACAAUA